CGAAAAGCCUGAUGCGAGCAACGCCGCGUGUGUGAUGAAGGCUUUCGGGUCGUAAAGCACUGUUGUAUGGGAAGAACAGCUAGAAUAGGAAAUGAUUUUAGUUUGACGGUACCAUACCAGAAAGGGACGGCUAAAUACGUGCCAGCAGCCGCGGUAAUACGUAUGUCCCGAGCGUUAUCCGGAUUUAUUGGGCGUAAAGCGAGCGCAGACGGUUUAUUAAGUCUGAUGUGAAAGCCCGGAGCUCAACUCCGGAAUGGCAUUGGAAACUGGUUAACUUGAGUGCAGUAGAGGUAAGUGGAACUCCAUGUGUAGCGGUGGAAUGCGUAGAUAUAUGGAAGAACACCAGUGGCGAAGGCGGCUUACUGGACUGCAACUGACGUUGAGGCUCGAAAGUGUGGGUAGCAAACAGGAUUAGAUACCCUGGUAGUCCACACCGUAAACGAUGAACACUAGGUGUUAGGAGGUUUCCGCCUCUUAGUGCCGAAGCUAACGCAUUAAGUGUUCCGCCUGGGGAGUACGACCGCAAGGUUGAAACUCAAAGGAAUUGACGGGGGCCCGCA
Molecule: ribosomal RNA, 560 nt
Filed under: Leuconostoc sp.
Lineage: Bacteria; Bacillati; Bacillota; Bacilli; Lactobacillales; Lactobacillaceae
Description: bacterial SSU rRNA
Rfam family: Bacterial small subunit ribosomal RNA
Source: RNAcentral